Molecule: transfer RNA, 72 nt
Filed under: Ailuropoda melanoleuca (giant panda)
Lineage: Eukaryota; Metazoa; Chordata; Mammalia; Carnivora; Ursidae
Rfam family: tRNA
About the family: Transfer RNA (tRNA) molecules are approximately 80 nucleotides in length. Their secondary structure includes four short double-helical elements and three loops (D, anti-codon, and T loops). Further hydrogen bonds mediate the characteristic L-shaped molecular structure. tRNAs have two regions of fundamental functional importance: the anti-codon, which is responsible for specific mRNA codon recognition, and the 3' end, to which the tRNAs corresponding amino acid is attached (by aminoacyl-tRNA synthetases). tRNAs cope with the degeneracy of the genetic code in two manners: having more than one tRNA (with a specific anti-codon) for a particular amino acid; and 'wobble' base-pairing, i.e. permitting non-standard base-pairing at the 3rd anti-codon position.
Source: Rfam by way of RNAcentral
ACCUUGCUGGCUCAGUUGGUGAGCAUGAGAUUUUUUAUCUCAGGGUUCUGAGUUCGAGCCCCACGUUGGGUA